UAAUACUUAGGAAUCUGCCCAUUAUGGGGGACAACUCGAGGAAACUCGAGCUAAUACCGCAUACGCCCUACGGGGGAAAGCGGAGGACCUUUCGGGGCUUCGCGCUAAUGGAUGAGCCUAAGUCGGAUUAGCUUGUUGGUGAGGUAAAGGCUCACCAAGGCGACGAUCCGUAGCUGGUCUGAGAGGACGAUCAGCCACACUGGGACUGAGACACGGCCCAG
This 221-nucleotide ribosomal RNA is filed under the name uncultured bacterium. RNAcentral describes it as "partial 16S ribosomal RNA". It matches the Rfam family "Bacterial small subunit ribosomal RNA", at positions 111 to 334 of the family's 1533-position model. The record is from RNAcentral.